Molecule: non-coding RNA, 102 nt
Filed under: Marinitoga piezophila
Lineage: Bacteria; Thermotogati; Thermotogota; Thermotogae; Petrotogales; Petrotogaceae
Also listed under: 1 other name
Description: Guanine sequence
Rfam family: Purine riboswitch aptamer
About the family: Riboswitches are metabolite binding domains within certain messenger RNAs that serve as precision sensors for their corresponding targets. Allosteric rearrangement of mRNA structure is mediated by ligand binding, and this results in modulation of gene expression.
Source: RNAcentral
AUUCUGGAAUUUUUCUUUUCCUAUAUAAUUCCGGUAAUAUGGUCCGGAAGUCUCUACCAGAUGGCCGUAAACCAUCUGACUAUAGGAAAAGGGGAGCUUAAU